RNAcentral lists this unclassified non-coding RNA (641 nucleotides) under Hevea brasiliensis (rubber tree). Lineage: Eukaryota; Viridiplantae; Streptophyta; Magnoliopsida; Malpighiales; Euphorbiaceae. The record is from RNAcentral.
GUUAUAGCUAGCAAGAGCUCCCUGGUUAGGAUCUUGCCCAUGGAUUGUUCAUCUUCCAGUUCUUGUAUUGUUGUGCUGCAAAUAAUCAUGGGUUGUUAAUAAUUUCCCUUCUGCUAUUAUUGGUUUCUUGAUGUUUUACUUACUCCACUGUUGGGUAAUUGAUAUUUCUUGGUUAUCUCUGUUUUAGUUUGUGCUGGUUUUCCUUUCCAAAAUUCUAUAUAUUUGAGUUUAUUUGAAUACACUGAGUUUGUCAACUUUUGCUGCUACUCAGUCAAUAAGUUUUAAAAAUUUUGGUUUAUGAAAGUUUGGUGAUUUCUUCUUGUCAGCUCUGUGCUCCUCAUGUUGGUCAUUUCCUUUGUAUUUGAUGAAUUUAUGUUUAAGGGUUUCUGUUCCAUUUAUCUAACAUUUGAAUUGUUGGAGCUCUUCUGUUAGGAUAUUUAGCUAAAUUUCUUAUCUAGCAGCAUUCAGUAGUGUCUAGAGCAUAACUGCAUAAUCCAUUUACCAAUGGAACUCGAAAAAAUUGGAAGUCCCUAUGUUUAUGGAAUGCUUUCUUAUUGUUAGAUCCCAUAUUCUUUAAAGAAUUUUCACUUCUUUUCACAUAUUUGUUCUUUCUUCUAGAUUUUCUAGAAAAUAAUGGAGGA